RNAcentral lists this ribosomal RNA (454 nucleotides) under uncultured organism. RNAcentral's name for it is "partial 16S ribosomal RNA". It matches the Rfam family "Bacterial small subunit ribosomal RNA", at positions 329 to 799 of the family's 1533-position model. The record is from RNAcentral.
ACGUACACUCCUACGGGAGGCAGCAGUGGGGAAUAUUGGACAAUGGGCGCAAGCCUGAUCCAGCCAUGCCGCGUGAGUGAUGGAGGCCCUAGGGUUGUAAAGCUCUUUCACCGGUGAAGAUAAUGACGGUAACCGGAGAAGAAGCCCCGGCUAACUUCGUGCCAGCAGCCGCGGUAAUACGAAGGGGGCUAGCGUUGUUCGGAUUUACUGGGCGUAAAGCGCACGUAGGCGGACUAUUAAGUCAGGGGUGAAAUCCCGGGGCUCAACCCCGGAACUGCCUUUGAUACUGGUAGUCUUGAGUUCGAGAGAGGUGAGUGGAAUUCCGAGUGUAGAGGUGAAAUUCGUAGAUAUUCGGAGGAACACCAGUGGCGAAGGCGGCUCACUGGCUCGAUACUGACGCUGAGGUGCGAAAGCGUGGGGAGCAAACAGGAUUAGAAACCCGAGUAGUCCCAUG